This 162-nucleotide unclassified non-coding RNA is filed under the name soil metagenome. Its description in RNAcentral is "partial internal transcribed spacer 1". The record is from RNAcentral.
AAGAGACGUUGCCCUUCGGGGUAUACCUCCCACCCUUUGUUUAUUAUACCUUUGUUGCUUUGGCGGGCCCGUCCUCGGACCACCUGGCUUCUGCUGGUCAGUGCCCGCCAGAGGACCUAAAACUCUGUUUGUUAAUAUUGUCUGAGUACUAUAUAAUAGUUA